RNAcentral lists this ribosomal RNA (253 nucleotides) under uncultured bacterium. Its description in RNAcentral is "partial 16S ribosomal RNA". It matches the Rfam family "Bacterial small subunit ribosomal RNA", at positions 524 to 776 of the family's 1533-position model. The record is from RNAcentral.
UACGGAGGAUGCAAGCGUUAUCCGGAAUGAUUGGGCGUAAAGGGUCCGCAGGUGGCAGUGUAAGUCUGCUGUCAAAGAAUGAGGCUUAACCUCAUCAAGGCAGUGGAAACUACACAGCUAGAGUACGGUCGGGGUAGAAGGAAUUCCUGGUGUAGCGGUGAGAUGCGUAGAGAUCAGGAAGAACACCGGUGGCGAAAGCGUUCUGCUAGACCUGUACUGACACUGAGGGACGAAAGCUAGGGGAGCGAAUGGG